This 76-nucleotide transfer RNA is filed under the name Candidatus Nealsonbacteria bacterium CG07_land_8_20_14_0_80_40_10. RNAcentral's name for it is "tRNA-Arg". It matches the Rfam family "tRNA". From Rfam's summary of the family: Transfer RNA (tRNA) molecules are approximately 80 nucleotides in length. Their secondary structure includes four short double-helical elements and three loops (D, anti-codon, and T loops). Further hydrogen bonds mediate the characteristic L-shaped molecular structure. tRNAs have two regions of fundamental functional importance: the anti-codon, which is responsible for specific mRNA codon recognition, and the 3' end, to which the tRNAs corresponding amino acid is attached (by aminoacyl-tRNA synthetases). tRNAs cope with the degeneracy of the genetic code in two manners: having more than one tRNA (with a specific anti-codon) for a particular amino acid; and 'wobble' base-pairing, i.e. permitting non-standard base-pairing at the 3rd anti-codon position. The record is from RNAcentral. Lineage: Bacteria; Candidatus Nealsoniibacteriota. RNAcentral also lists the same sequence under 1 other name.
GCCCCGGUAGCUCAAUGGACAGAGCGUCUGGCUUCGGACCAGAAGGUUGGGGGUUCGACUCCCUUCCGGGGCGCCA